Molecule: ribosomal RNA, 259 nt
Filed under: uncultured prokaryote
Description: partial 16S ribosomal RNA
Rfam family: Bacterial small subunit ribosomal RNA
Source: RNAcentral
UACGUAGGUGGCGAGCGUUAUCCGGAAUUAUUGGGCGUAAAGAGCGCGCAGGUGGUUGAUUAAGUCUGAUGUGAAAGCCCACGGCUUAACCGUGGAGGGUCAUUGGAAACUGGUCGACUUGAGUGCAGAAGAGGGAAGUGGAAUUCCAUGUGUAGCGGUGAAAUGCGUAGAGAUAUGGAGUAACACCAGUGGCGAAGGCGGCUUCCUGGUCUGUAACUGACACUGAGGCGCGAAAGCGUGUGGAGCAAACAGGAUUAGA